CAAAUGUGUGAGAAAGCCAGAGGAGAAGUACAAGAAGGAUUUAGAAGUUGUCUACCGAUGUUUGGGUAGCUAGAAAGUUUUGGUGAAAAUUAAUAAAGGAAAACCUCACUAAGAUGGAGUCAGGAAGCCAGAAGGGGGAGCUCUCAAGCAGUACCACCUGAUGUCAAUUACAGGCAGCAUUGUCAAUUACAGACCCCAACAGAAGAAUCAUCAACGGGAAAGAAUCAUCCAUCACAGGUCCCAACAGGAAAAGAUGUACAUGGUGUCUCCUACAAGAAAUUGACUACCCCAGCAACUCAGCCAGUGAGAAACCGUCAUCACCCUGAACUCUCAUUUUUCUCCGAUGGACUUUUUUCAAAAUAACCCCUUCCAUCUUGCUCCUUUUCUCUCUAUAAAAUAACAUUCCUCU
Eubalaena glacialis (North Atlantic right whale) is the source of this 409-nucleotide long non-coding RNA. RefSeq lists it as uncharacterized. The transcript is spliced from 3 exons. Lineage: Eukaryota; Metazoa; Chordata; Mammalia; Artiodactyla; Balaenidae. The record is from RefSeq and is a predicted model, not a curated record.